GACGAACGCUGGCGGCGUGCUUAACACAUGCAAGUCGAGCGGUAAGGCCCUUUCGGGGGUACACGAGCGGCGAACGGGUGAGUAACACGUGGGAACCUACCUUCUGGUACGGAACAACCAAGGGAAACUUUGGCUAAGACCGUAUACGACCUCCGGGUGAAAGAUUGAUCGCCGGAAGAGGGGCCCGCGUCCGAUUAGGUAGUUGGUGAGGUAACGGCUCACCAAGCCUUCGAUCGGUAGCUGGUCUGAGAGGAUGACCAGCCACACUGGGACUGAGACACGGCCCAGACUCCUACGGGAGGCAGCAGUGGGGAAUAUUGGACAAUGGGCGCAAGCCUGAUCCAGCCAUGCCGCGUGAGUGAUGAAGGCCUC
This 372-nucleotide ribosomal RNA is filed under the name uncultured bacterium. RNAcentral's name for it is "bacterial SSU rRNA". It matches the Rfam family "Bacterial small subunit ribosomal RNA", at positions 28 to 418 of the family's 1533-position model. The record is from RNAcentral.